This 253-nucleotide ribosomal RNA is filed under the name uncultured bacterium. RNAcentral's name for it is "partial 16S ribosomal RNA". It matches the Rfam family "Bacterial small subunit ribosomal RNA", at positions 524 to 776 of the family's 1533-position model. The record is from RNAcentral.
UACGAAGGGGGCUAGCGUUGCUCGGAAUCACUGGGCGUAAAGCGCACGUAGGCGGAUUGUUAAGUCAGGGGUGAAAUCCUGGAGCUCAACUCCAAAACUGCCUUUGAUACUGGCGAUCUCGAGUCCGGGAGAGGUGAGUGGAACUGCGAGUGUAGAGGUGAAAUUCGUAGAUAUUCGCAAGAACACCAGUGGCGAAGGCGGCUCACUGGCCCGGUACUGACGCUGAGGUGCGAAAGCGUGGGGAGCAAACAGG